GGGGGGAAGCAGAUAGCUCAGCAUCACGUGAUGUUGUUAGCAAAGCCAAGGAGCUGCUGCAUCUGAGCCGAGCCACAAGCAACAUCCCCCUCCACACUGAAAGGUCGUCCCGCACCCGCCAGGCACCAUGUCGUACGGCUCCACCGACGAAGGCUCCUUCGGGCCCCGGAACCCCUUCGGAGGCCCCAGCAGUCAUGGCUACCGACCCGUGGGUAAAGACGGCACCUUUUCAGAACUGCAGGAUGUGUUCCAAGAACCUCAUCCAAUAUCUUCCAGAUCAAUGCCAACG
This is a long non-coding RNA of Gadus macrocephalus (Pacific cod), 289 nucleotides long. RefSeq lists it as uncharacterized. The transcript is spliced from 3 exons. The record is from RefSeq and is a predicted model, not a curated record. NCBI's taxonomy places the organism in Eukaryota, Metazoa, Chordata, Actinopteri, Gadiformes, Gadidae.